Long non-coding RNA from Oreochromis aureus, 1757 nucleotides. RefSeq lists it as uncharacterized. The transcript has 3 exons. Lineage: Eukaryota; Metazoa; Chordata; Actinopteri; Cichliformes; Cichlidae. The record is from RefSeq and is a predicted model, not a curated record.
ACAGCCGAACAGAGCAGGCGGACUAAAACUUUGUUAUCGAGGGCAGAGCAAAACCGGAAGGUUUACUGAGCUGUGGCUUCACGUAAACGCUGAGCAUCCACUCGACGGCGGUCAGGUUUUUAUAUGGAACGAAUCCAAAUACCAGGUCAGCGAUUCCAGAACCCAGAGUGUUCCAGUGUUCACUGGAUGGCGAGUCAACCCAAGAUCCUAGGAGACGAUAUACAUACACACGCACACUCAAUUGCACAUUGAUGGACUACAAUCCUCUACUGUACAAGUAGUGCGGUAGGACAGACAAUCACACACACACACUCCUCAUUGGACGAACUCUAAUGCAAUACACCCGUUUGUCAUGGGCCCCACCGGUACCAUUUGGACUGAAAAAGACUAAUUCUUUUACUUGUGCACAAUUUUAUUUUAUACUUGAAGUUCUGUUAAAACCUGUUGUAAUUCAGUGUUGGUUACAAAAUUUUUUAAACGGCUUAACACCACUAAAGUACUUUUAAGCCACACAACUGUGUUUGUCUGGUUUCUCUACCAUUCAUGUACCAGAGCUCUAAGAGUCGUUCUUAAUCUUCUGAUACUAGCCCAAAUUACUCAUUACCUUGGUAAUCAUCCAUUGGUACUGUAUAUAACUCCACGUAAGUGCUACAAGAGUCCUAAAACUAUAGUAGUAAUCAAUGUAAGCAUAUGUUCUGUUCCCACAUCCCACAUCACUACAAAUGGAAAUGUGGUAUUUUCCAUUAGAGCUAUGGAACUUUCCACUUAUGCAUUAUAUUGAUGGACUAAUAUGUUAACAUUCAAUUCAUUAAAUGUAUUUAGCACCAGUUCACAAUGCCAGUGAUCCCAAGGACCUUUAUAUUUUAAGGCACAGACUCUGCACAGAGACAAGUCUAAUGAUGAGACAUCAUCUUAUUAGGACAUUUUGCAAAGGAGGAAAUGUACCACUGAACAAGGGGAGUUGCAGAAUGAAGUACUGUGAAUAGUUUGUGCUCAGAUGAGAUGAUAACAAAAAAAGAGCAGCAGCAAGAUAAGAAUCAUAAAGCAGAAGAGAGUAUAGAGUAUAAAUAAGGGAUGCUUCAGGGCACAGUGAUUUUAGGUUAAAACUUUUAAGCAAACUAGAAAAAGAAGUAUGUUUACACUAUACAAGUAAAUUAUAAGAUACAAAAUUAACACAUCACAUAAAAGUCAUCUUCAUUUCCUACAUAAAAUUACAUGCACAAUGUAUACAGAUGUUACAGAUCAUUUGAGCUGUCAUUGUGAUGUCAUUAAUACAUCAAACACCUCUAUACAAAACUUGUUGCGUUUAACUGAACAUUUUGUGUUUCACAGAAAAAUAAUUUUUCUGGAGGCUACAACUUUUGAACUAAUUAAGAAAAAAAAUUAACAGAGAAAAACAGGCUCUAACAUCAGGACAAACAGCCACAAUAAAAUCACAGCUUCUUUCCCCAUUAAAACUCUAGAAAUUUAAAUUUACUAUAAAAGCAAAGCCAACCACUAAACCCCCCCCCCCCCCCAUUUAAAAAAAAAAAAGAUAAAUAAUAUAAUUAGCCCCUUUUUCCAGGGGUGGAAUAUAUAAUUAGCUAUUUGGUUUCAACAUGAAGAUAUUGUGCCACAAGUAAAAGCUGUAAAUACAGCUGUCACAAACAGGUAUUAACAGUGUUUAUCUUAAAGCUAAAUAACACAUUAGACAUAAAUUAUUACACAGAUAUACCUGGAUCACAUAUUACUAUUUUGUCAAUAUUUCAUAUAGAAGC